AAAUCUUGUUUGGAGAGAAAAAAUGUAUAUUUUUUUUACCCAUUAAUGGGUGAAAAAAUAGUUGUAAACAUUUCUUCAUCUGUACUCCCGUUUUUUUACUGCUAGGGAAAUUAAAUCAACGAACUCACGUUAAAUGUAAGCAAAGAUAACUGGAAGGAACUUAUAGUCAUCUUUGAUGUCUUCGGGUGCGGAAUUCCAGAGAAAAAUAGAAUCGACCAUCUUAUAUUUCUGCCUGACGAUUACGUAAUAGAAGAAAUGGUAAAUCGUGGGGUAAUUAAUCCAUGAAGGACUUGGUCCAGAGAAGCCUGAAAACCACCUGAAAUGCGGACCACUAAUGGAAGAAAUCAUUCGGAGACUAACCGUUACCAUCCAAGAAGAUUUCAUUAAGCGUUAUUUGCAUGCG
This is a long non-coding RNA of Armigeres subalbatus, 403 nucleotides long. RefSeq lists it as uncharacterized. NCBI's taxonomy places the organism in Eukaryota, Metazoa, Arthropoda, Insecta, Diptera, Culicidae. The transcript has 3 exons. The record is from RefSeq and is a predicted model, not a curated record.